UCUCCGUAGGUGAACCUGCGGAGGGAUCAUUACAGAGUUCAUGCCCUACCGGGUAGAUCUCCCACCCUAUGUUAUUAUUACUUUGUUGCUUUGGCGGGCCGUUAGGCUCCGGCCCGACUACCGGCCCCGGCUGGUAAGCGCCCGCCAGAGGACCCAAAACCCUGAAUAUUAGUGCCGUCUGAGUACUAUAUAAUAGUUAAAACAUUCAACAACGGAUCUCUUGGUUCUGACAUCGAUGAAGAACGCAGC
This 249-nucleotide unclassified non-coding RNA is filed under the name plant metagenome. RNAcentral's name for it is "partial contains small subunit ribosomal RNA, internal transcribed spacer 1, and 5.8S ribosomal RNA". The stretch from base 201 to 249 matches the Rfam family "5.8S ribosomal RNA", at positions 1 to 49 of the family's 154-position model. The record is from RNAcentral.